This 239-nucleotide unclassified non-coding RNA is filed under the name Hevea brasiliensis (rubber tree). The record is from RNAcentral. Lineage: Eukaryota; Viridiplantae; Streptophyta; Magnoliopsida; Malpighiales; Euphorbiaceae.
AUUUUUUUUUCUUGCUGUUUCACUCCAAAAAAUGUCAUUUCGUGAUUUCACUUCUUCCUUUCUAUUACUUAACUUCAUCAAGAAAUUGAACGUAUAUACAUAAUCUUUCUCAAGCAACAACUGAUAUAUUCUGAUUACAAGGAGUGGAAAACCUGGUAAGUCUGCAUCCUAAUACUUCCGUUAUUUACAAAUUACAGAUGUCGCACGAGUGUUUACUUUUUCUCAAAUUCCUAUUUAGU